UCAGUUUUUGUUGUUUGUAGCAAUUUUGCCAAAGACACAAAAGAAGAAAAAAAGCUAAGUGUUGCCAACUCAAGGAGUAAUUUUCUUUGUUCCAGCACUGCGUCCUGGGAGCUGCCCAUCCCCCUCCACAAAGGCCAGUGCUAAACAAGGCCAGAGCCAGGAAGGACACGCGGGGCCAUGGAUUGAGUGAGGGCAGUGUGUGCGUGUGUGGAUUUCUCUGGUGGCUUUGCAAGGGCAAAUAUUUAUUUUGAGGGAUGGUGGUGGGAGGACCAAGUUUACACUCACUUUGUUUGGUAGGGGAAGUGGCUAAUGUGAGAAUCAAUAGACAAGAUUUUAUCAAGCCCCUGCCCUGGGCAGAGCCCAGUUUUUGAAGCUGGGAGAACAGGCAGAUGUGUGAGACAGUCAGGGCCCUUCAGAUCUCACCCAGGAGCCACUGAUACAGGACUUGAGCUUGGAGGGAGCUGGAGUGGCCGCUUGCUGAGUCUUUCUCCCUGGAGCCUGUGGGCAGCCGGUUACGCUUGCGCUGGGGCGACCCUGACUUAGGACCUCCUGCCGUUUCUCUGGGUGACUGCUCUGUAGUCGUGAGUCGUCUCUUUAAUGCCGAGCGUCAGUACCUGCACAUCCCUGAAUGGAGCAGCUGCCCAGAAUCUGUCUUGUCAUCGAUAGAUGGACAGUUGCCGAGUGUCCCAUGUGCCGACCAAGGAGUUUUUGUCCCUAUCACCCUGUCCCCCGUGGUUUUAUUCAGACGUUAGUUAUGAAUCCGUGUUUAGGAUGAGAAAACGUAAACAGUGAGGAGGGUAAGUGAGAAGCUACCAAGAGUCUGGAUGGUGAUGGCGGGGGAGCGCUGGCGGAGGAGUCGGGGGCGUCCCGCUGGACUGGGGCACAGCUCUGCAGCAGCAGCCGGUGCGGUUUUGCCUUGUAAGUGACACCGUUGCCUGCAGGCAUCUCUGACAGCUGCUCCUGCUCCAGAUUCCAGAAAUUUCUGUGGAACAUUUCCUGAACCAUCCUCCUGGUUUCUUCCCUUCCCCUCACUGAAUAAAAUCCGUAAUAGCA
This is a long non-coding RNA of Pongo pygmaeus (Bornean orangutan), 1053 nucleotides long. RefSeq lists it as uncharacterized. Lineage: Eukaryota; Metazoa; Chordata; Mammalia; Primates; Hominidae. The record is from RefSeq and is a predicted model, not a curated record. The transcript is spliced from 2 exons.